This 70-nucleotide transfer RNA is filed under the name Nanorana ventripunctata (spot-bellied plateau frog). Its description in RNAcentral is "tRNA-Thr". It matches the Rfam family "tRNA". From Rfam's summary of the family: Transfer RNA (tRNA) molecules are approximately 80 nucleotides in length. Their secondary structure includes four short double-helical elements and three loops (D, anti-codon, and T loops). Lineage: Eukaryota; Metazoa; Chordata; Amphibia; Anura; Dicroglossidae. The record is from RNAcentral.
GUUUUGAUAGCUUAAUAUAAAGCCCCGACCUUGUAAGCCGGAGAUUGUAGCUUAAACUCUACUCAAAACU